GUGUGUGUGUGUGUGUGUGUGUGUGUGUGUGUGUGUGUGUGUGUAUGCGCGCCUCCCUCCUGCCUCCCCCAGGCCUCACU
Molecule: microRNA precursor, 80 nt
Filed under: Loxodonta africana (African savanna elephant)
Lineage: Eukaryota; Metazoa; Chordata; Mammalia; Proboscidea; Elephantidae
Description: miRNA (ENSLAFG00000025380.2)
Source: RNAcentral